This 437-nucleotide non-coding RNA is filed under the name Merops nubicus (carmine bee-eater). RNAcentral describes it as "Eukaryotic small subunit ribosomal RNA". It matches the Rfam family "Eukaryotic small subunit ribosomal RNA", at positions 1194 to 1652 of the family's 1831-position model. Lineage: Eukaryota; Metazoa; Chordata; Aves; Coraciiformes; Meropidae. The record is from Rfam by way of RNAcentral.
UCCAGGUUCUCUUGGGCCUACAAUAUGGGAAAACUCACCUGUGCUGGUGAAGGGCAGGACUGAACAGACAGCUCUCUCUCAGUUCUGUGGGCGGUGGUGCAUGGUCAUUCUAGGUAGGGUAAUUUGCCUGGUUAAUUCCCAUAGCGAAUGAGAGUCUGGCUUGCUGAGUAGUUACGUGACCCCUGAGCAGUCAGCAUCCGUCUUCUUUGAGGGACAGUGAACAUUCAGCCACCUGAGACUGGGCAAUAAGAGUUCCGUGGUGCCCUUAGAGGCCACAAGCAUGCUACACUGCCUGGCUCAGCUUGUGCCUACACUCCUCUGUCAGGUGCAUUAACCCACUGAGCCCUAUUCAUGAUGGGGAUUGGGGAUUAGAAUUCAUCCCCAUGAAAGAGGAAUUCCCAUUAAAGGCAGGUCAUAAUCUUGCAUUGAUUAAGUCC